Molecule: long non-coding RNA, 4506 nt
Filed under: Brachypodium distachyon (stiff brome)
Lineage: Eukaryota; Viridiplantae; Streptophyta; Magnoliopsida; Poales; Poaceae
Description: long non-coding RNA (BDIS_LNC002577)
Source: RNAcentral
GCUCUGUUGCUAGAUCAAGAAUGCAGUUCAAAUAUAAAUGUAAGAGGUUCACAUGCCACGCAUAAUGAUCUACUACAGCUGAUCAACUUGCUCAAACUUGUCUUGUGCCGCAUCAAAACAUUAACACGGCAUGAAAUUAACUGCAUGAAAAGGAAAUGUGCAGUAUACCUGCUAUUGCUGCUAUGUUUAUCUUGUUUAUCUUCUUUCCUGCGUAAGCAGACAAAAAAAGUCAAAAAUAAUGUGUGUGAAAAUUUAACGAGUAUCAAACUUCAAGGUGAUUGUUUUCUAUCGAUCCAUUCAAUUUGUUUCUGGAGACCUAACGAACUAAGAAAAGAUUUUGCAACUGCUGCCGAUAUUAUAUAAAGAAGAAACAUAUGGGGAACAUGGGCAAGGUGCUGUUUCCUCCUAGUAAAGCUGUCACGUGCUAAGCUACAAAGCCUGGAAAUUAACUUUGACCAUAAAGAGGAGGUUGCUCUAUUGCUUUUGACUACCGAUGAACAACGACCCGCACUAUGAAAAAAGAAAAUCUUGUACCAACAGCGGACAAAGGCAUCCUUGUUGUCUUCAUUUUUCCUUCUUAGUUCGGUUGACAAGUUAACAUUCUCUUUUUGAAGAUAUGGUGCAUCAUGACAUGAAACAUGAAAAAUAUUAUGACUUUGGAUAAAGCUGUAGCAAAGCGUACACGUUUACGUUUGAAGGCGCAAUUAACAUGUACUGGCAGAUAUUUUUCCGGGGAACAUGACAGAUACCAAUAUGUAGGACAUCGGCGUCAAGGAAGAAAACUAAAGAAACCAUAAAGGCAGGCAGCUGUAGUCUUCCCUAGGAAUGAAAAAAACGAUCUCUCCAUGAUGUCAGAGUGUCUGAAAAAAAUUUCGAAAUCAAAGAAUAAAUUCCACUGAAAAUUUUGAGCCACCAACUCAUAUUACCACCUGAAAUUGCCUUCGAAAGUGUGAAAAGAUGUCGACCCCUCAAAUAGACAUUGACAGGGAUGGACCAUUGCCAUGUGUCCGCAAGCGGGCCUUUGAUCUUAUCACACAUUCACACCUAACCAUCAAUUCGCUGGUUGAUCUAUCAACGCAGGCUGCAGUAGACAGUACUACUCACUCCAUUCCACGAUAGAAGGCGUAUAGAUUGGGAGAGGGCGUGAAUGGAUCAAUCGUUGGGACCUAAAAUGGUUUCUGAAUUCCGAAUCAGUCCAUGGCCGGGCAUGAGGAAAUGGAGUCGAGUCGCUGUGCAGCUGCUCUUCAUUUCUUUCUCCCCGUUGCCGUCCUGAAGCGGACGUGAUCGAUGAAGCCAAGACCCUGCUCUGCUGGACAUCUGUGUUCUUCAAUGGGCGUGUCGAUCUUUGUCCAAGGAAAGAAAGGUACGGGAGAACGGAUCGAUCGUACUGAUGUGGUUGAAGCUACGGUUCGUUUCACACGCUGAUAUUUCUCCUCCUUUUCUUUUCGAAAAAACAUUGGCGCGUAUUUGUUUAGUUGGCCUACCCAGUACCCAUCCGUCAGAUAAUGGUGCUGCAGUGUGCUUGAAGCUAGCAAUGGCUCUAAUUUAUGGCUCUAAGUACGGAGUAAUUGCCAAGCGAAGCGACCCAGAUAGAUGUGUCCGGGUUGUUGUUGCUUUAGAUGGUUUUCGUACGGAACUGACGCGGCAGCAGCGGUUCGAUCAGAACGGCUUACCGGACCGUGUCGCGGCGGAGCCUGAGACCUUGCUGCAGCCGUCGGCGUCCACCAGGGCGCCAUUACCGCCGCAGAAGCAGCCCAAGAACUCGCCGGUGCCGUUGUAUCCGCACCUCCCAUCGAAUCUCUCGCACCGGGCGCAGGGUCCGGAGCCGAUCCUUUCCCAGCUCACCUGGAACCCCCCGCGGAGCGCCUUGGCGUACCCGCCUUCCCUCCACCCGGGGUCCUGCGCUGCGCCUUCCGGGACGGCGUCACUGAGCACGGGCGCCCUGUACACCGACUGGCACGCCUGCCACCAUCCUUUGGGCUUCGGCGGAACCUCGCGCUCCGGCAGCACGAAGGACAUGGUAGGCUCUGCUUCGCCAGAGCUCCCGGCGCAGGUGAUCGGCUUGAUACUCGGCGGCUUGCGCGCCGGCUUGGGCUCCGGAAGGAACUCGGCGUCCGGCGCGAAUGCGCAGCCGGUGAAGAAGAAGAGGUAGGCGAUGGUGGAAGUGGGCAGAUGGAAGGCCUUGGGGAUGGUGACGUUGUGGCCGGCUUUAGGGCAGGCUUCGCCACCGUCGAGGAUGUCGGCGUCGGCGAGGGAGACGGUGAGGCUGGCGUAGUCGAUGGAGGAGACCGUGUAGUCGUCGCGGUCGAGGCGGAGCGUGGGCUUGCCGUCGUCGUCGCAGAGGAUGGCCAGGCCCGGGUAGCCGCAGUAGGAGUGCUCCGGAGGGGGCGCCUUCUCUGUCUCGUUGUAGAGGUAGAACGGGUACUUGAUGCUGAGAUCGCCGCAGACGGAAGGCUCGAGCUGGCACGUUGGGGUGCGGCGGCUGUUGUAAGUGUCGUCGCCAUGGGAAGCGACCGGGGAGAGCACGAGCAGGAUGAUGAGGCAGAGGAGAGUCAUGGCCGGUUUCUGCUCUGUUUUGGCUCGAGGGUUCUGCGCUGCUGGCACGGUUGGUGUGGGGCUUUGGCUGGUUUGGUUGCCUCCCCGUUUAUAUGCCGUGCGCUAAGCACGAGGUACCAAGCGAGGUUUGGGUGAGAGGGUUGGCCGGUUGGGUGGGCACUGCAGGACGUACGGCACAUGACAGUCGAGAGCACUGGCCGACUGGCGACGCGCCAGCUCAAGAUGGUAAGAAUGGCAUGUAAGAUCUAGGCAUGACCGGCCCGGUCCCAAGCCCGGCGUGCUGGCAUGUAAGAUCUAGAUUUUUUUAAGAAUAGAUACGUCUAUUUUUAGUCAAAUUUGAGACAAGAAUUAUGAAACGGAGGGAAUAAUAGAUAGAUCCAAAAAUUCAUUUUUUUUAUCAUAAUUGAUUAUUUUUAAUAGCCAGAUCAGCCUGGGCCUCAGGUCCGGCCCCGACUUGGAGUUUUGCUACCGGGCUUUAUACUCAUUUGCUAAAAAAAAAGAUGUGCAUAUACUAGCCGUCAGCAUAAUUUUUUCUCAUAUCCGACCACCGAUUUAUCCCAAUAAGUUAGCAACAGCAAAUGAGGUGGCUGGUGGCGCCUGGAUCGUGCGAGGCCUAGAAGUGGAUGAAGGCCAUGUAACGGAUACUCGUUGCCAUCUUGACGUUAGUUGUGCCACAGCCCUCUAGGUCGCGUUGAUGCAAAAAAAAAAGAACUUCAUCCAUAUCCUAGCUGUUGCGCUCCACGGUGGCAUACCGGUUGGUGUAGCACCUCAAGAUGACGGAAUAAUUUUUAGGUCCAAAAUUGAUACAUAGUACACAACUUCAGAAAAAAUAUCAAUUCGUCCCUGAAUAGUUCCACCAGGAUACUGUUAGUUCCAUAUUUAAAUUUGGUACUAGUCACAACAUGAUUUCUUUUGUUUUUUAUGUAGUCGUAAAAAAUAGAAUUGAAAUGUCAUGUGGUAGAUUGUGUAUGCUAAUCUAUAUGCAUGCCAUAAGUUAAUUUAAGAUUCUUUUCAUGACUCUAGACAUGAUUCAAAUAUGUUUACCAGGUUUCUUACCGGAAAAUAUGCUCCCAAGUUGGUCACAUUUGUAAUUCCUUGCCAAUAAAACUAGUGAAAAUGCGAACUGAAUUUUUUUUUAAAAAAAAUCAUUCUUUUAAACCGGACAAAAGCUAUGUGCUCUCACAAAAGAAAAAAGAAAAAGGAAAAAAGAAAAAAUUAUAGUGGAGCCUUUACUGCAAGACCGGCUUUGAUCUCUCAGGUUGGAGUAUGUGUUUUCCAAAAAACAACCACACACGAAUUUUGCUGUCGCAUACUCGCAUGUGCGUGGAAUGGUCAAGACGGCGUCCUACUCCUUCUCACGACAUCUGUGGAAAACGUGCGCUCUACUGGUAUUUCAGUAACAUGAAAGCGUUCAGGAAGCAAUCGCGUCCAAAUCGGGGCAAGAAUCGGUCGCGACUACUACAGUUUUUACCUACCAAACCUGAACAAUUUCGUUCGAAAGUUCAGGUUACAGGCUUUGUCAGAGUUAUGCGGGAUUUGACUGGCUUGGCUUACAGCGAUUAGAAAUGUUCAGUCUUCGCACUUGCCCCUCUAGUUGGUGAGAAAUCAUUCGAUGUGCGACAUCAGAAAAGAUGCAAAGUAGCAGCGCGCGGCGGCACAACAGGAUUGCUGUACAACCAUGUUGUAAGGUCCAAGUGAUUUCAAGAAGUAACAAAGUUUGGCAGUCACUUACUACCAACAUUACGACAUAUGUUCGUGGGAAGGAAAGGGCCAGGAGCCCGAGAGGGCUACACGUCAAAUGCAAAAACACGCAACUGUUGGAAGAAAAAGGGAAAAGUUUCAGAUUCAGAGAGCUUACCGGCGCCCUUGACACAAUUAUCGGAGUGCAUUCGCCCGUCAGGGCACAAGCAAUCGAUGAAAUCCAUGCCCUGGCUGUAACCGCACUUUCCA